CAAAAGGCUCCAUCGAAUCGGCCCAAUGCGCUGGGGCUGUGCUGCACUAUAGCUGCUUUACGCGUUUCAGUGGCCCCACCUGUGCCGACAGAGCCGGGCGAAGUUUUACCCCUGCAGCCCGGCUCAAUCACGGCAGAUCGCGGGCUCAGGGCGUGCACAGCACCCGCUCCCCGGAUAGCGACGAAGGCCCUGUCUCCGGCCACAGGAGCAUUCACAACAGCCCGGGCUGCAAGGAGGCCACAUCAUCUUCUGGAGCCGUCUCCUGUGCGCCGAGCCGUGUUCCACCCCCUCAAAUGCAAUGAAAGGGAAUCACACAGCCCAACGACACCGCGGCAUUGCACCUUGACCACCAGGCCUGCAGCUGGGGAGCAGGAGCAGGCAGGAGAAGGAGAAGGAGGAAAGGAGAAAGAAGAAGGAAGGUUACACCAACGGCAGACAGAAGACCUAGAGACAGAGAGAAAAAGAAAGAACAAGAACAGUACAAAAUAACAUCGAGUAAAACAUUGACCCAGCAGCAGCACAGACAUCCGUUUUACAUCUGAGGAGGGAAAUCCAAGCAAAGGAACCAACAAAGACCCUUCUGUUCCUCCACAGCUCACAAAAGAGUGUGAGCUCUUCAGACGGCCGGUAGAAACUGUGUUGGUACUGUACUGUAUGUCCAGAGACCGGGGCAGCAUACUCCUGUUUUACUAACGCACAUCCUCCGAGGUGUGAGCUGAGCAGUGGGAGCGCUGCUUUCUUGCCUUUAUAAAUUACAGCCCAGAAAGGCUCGAUUUUAAAUUAUUCUUUUUUUAACGUGUAUCUUAGCAAAACAUUGUGGACUGCCUUUCAGAAUCUAUUUUUAAUUACAAUGUAAAAAAGCUAUGGCCUGUUGAGUUACAUCUUAAAUUAAAAAUUGAACUCCGUGAUAUCCCCACUUCUUUCAAAGAGGUAGGAGAAAUGUAUACACGUUCACCACCCCAUAAGCAGCAGAGAACAGGUAUGAAUAUGUACAUGAACCAAUUGCAACUUUGUUCUGUUUUCUGAUUCAUUUUCUUUAAAAAAAUAAAAAUAAUUCGUGGUUCCUGAG
This 1069-nucleotide long non-coding RNA is filed under the name Lepisosteus oculatus (spotted gar). RNAcentral describes it as "lncRNA (ENSLOCG00000021760.1)". Lineage: Eukaryota; Metazoa; Chordata; Actinopteri; Semionotiformes; Lepisosteidae. The record is from RNAcentral.